AUUCCAGCUCCAAUAGCGUAUAUUAAAGUUGUUGCGGUAAAAAAGCUCGUAGUUGGAUUUCUGUUGAGGGCGACCGGUCCAUACAACGUAUGCGUAUCUGGCUCGGCCUCGGCAUCCUCUCGAUAGACGUUUCUGCGCUUGAUUGCGUGGAGCGGAUCUCGGGACUUUUACUUUGAGGAAAUUAGAGUGUUCACGGCAGGCUAUCGCCAGAAUACAUUAGCAUGGAAUAAUACUAUAGGAUCUUGAUUCUAUUUUGUUGGUUUCUAGAAUUGAGAUAAUGAUUAAUAGGGACAAUUGGGGGCAUUCGUAUCAACACGUCAGAGGUGGAAUUCUUGGAUUGUGUUGCGACGAUCUACUGCGAAAGCAUUUGCCAAGGAUGUUUUCAUCA
Molecule: ribosomal RNA, 388 nt
Filed under: Syndiniales sp.
Lineage: Eukaryota; Dinophyceae; Syndiniales
Description: partial small subunit ribosomal RNA
Rfam family: Eukaryotic small subunit ribosomal RNA
Source: RNAcentral